RNAcentral lists this long non-coding RNA (741 nucleotides) under Amborella trichopoda. RNAcentral describes it as "long non-coding RNA (ATRI_LNC005425)". The record is from RNAcentral. Lineage: Eukaryota; Viridiplantae; Streptophyta; Magnoliopsida; Amborellales; Amborellaceae.
AAAAAAAAAACUUUUUUUUUUUUUUCUUCUAAAUCCCUUCUCUCUCUUCACUUCGCGUGUUUCUCCCUACCCCGUGAAUCUCCCCAACUGCUCCUUGUAAGUCCACUUCGCGUGUUUCUCUCUCCCCUGUGAAUCUCCCCAACUCUUCCUUUUAAGUCUUAAUGCCCUUCCCUACACUAUCAACCUCAUCAAGAAGCUCUUGAGUCGCCUUUAAAUAUUUUUAACCCAUCGGAACCCCCUGUAAAUUUGAUGAAACAGAGUCCACAGUCCUCUGUUUCAUUCUAUGAGAUAAUCCACGGCCAUUCGAAUGCCAUUCGAUGGUUGUUGGGAAAAAAGACUCAAAGAGUGAAACCCUUGUUAUGUUUGAUCAGACGCCAUGGGUGCUAUUCAAAUACCCAUCUGAGAAAUCGUGAUUUCUUGAACAGGUUGGAAAUGAGAGAUUGAGGCUGAACUGUUCAUAUUUACGAUUUGGGGAGGAUUAAUAUAGGCCUUAGAUUGAUCAGUUGCUUGGAGAAGGGUGGGUUCAUUGCCCUAUUUCCUCCAUUGAUUGUCUUGGUGAUGGCCUGAAAUUCGAUAGGCAAGCAAAUUCGGGUUUAUGACAGGCGGGUUUACAAUGAGUACCUGGCGUUGUGCGCCUGAGGUUGUUGGUUUGAGUUUUAAGAGAGAUUGGUACCAAUUGUUAAGGGAUUUCUAUUAACAUGAUUUACAAGCACCAUGUUUCCUGGAUUUGCAGAGGGCGUC